RNAcentral lists this small RNA (829 nucleotides) under Trichopeziza mollissima. Its description in RNAcentral is "eukaryotic LSU rRNA". The stretch from base 528 to 681 matches the Rfam family "5.8S ribosomal RNA". Lineage: Eukaryota; Fungi; Ascomycota; Leotiomycetes; Helotiales; Tricladiaceae. The record is from RNAcentral.
GUUCUCAGCAAUGAUUCUUCCAUUGUAGCACUUACAGAAGCCUAUGCGGCCCCGCAAGGGGUUCCUACAACGACAGUAAAUAAAAAGUAGUACUACGCAAGUCAGAAAUGGCAACAUAAUCAAAUUGCGGGGAGCCCUAAAGCCUUUCAGUACCAACUGUAAACAGAAAUGUUUACAGGGCCUAUGUUAACCGCAUAGGGUGGUCAUAACCUGGAAGGAUGUACAAUGGGUAAUCCGCAGCGAAGCCCCUACCACUAGUAAUAGUCACGGGGAACGUUCACAGACUAAAUGAUUAUGGGCAGUCCUAGGGACUGCUUAAGAUAUAGUCGGGUCCUCUGAGAGAUUAGAGGCUAUCUAAUAAACCGUUCCGUAGGUGAACCUGCGGAAGGAUCAUUACAGAGUUCAUGCCCUCACGGGUAGACCUCCCACCCUUGUGUAUUAUAUCAUAUGUUGCUUUGGCGGGUGCAAGCCCGCCAGAGGACCCAAACUCUGAGUUUAGUGUCGUCUGAGUACUAUAAAAUAGUUAAAACUUUCAACAACGGAUCUCUUGGUUCUGGCAUCGAUGAAGAACGCAGCGAAAUGCGAUAAGUAAUGUGAAUUGCAGAAUUCAGUGAAUCAUCGAAUCUUUGAACGCACAUUGCGCCCCUUGGUAUUCCGAGGGGCAUGCCUGUUCGAGCGUCAUUAUAACCAAUCCAGCCUGGCUGGGUCUUGGGCUCCGCCAACCGGCGGGCCUUAAAAUCAGUGGCGGUGCUGCCAGGCUCUAAGCGUAGUAAAUACCUCGCUAUAGGGUCCUGGUGGAGGCUUGCCAACAACCCCCAACUUCUUAGGU